Molecule: RNA transcript, 4193 nt
Organism: Quercus robur (English oak)
Lineage: Eukaryota; Viridiplantae; Streptophyta; Magnoliopsida; Fagales; Fagaceae
Gene name: cyclin-dependent kinase G-2
Exons: 9
Source: RefSeq, a predicted model, not a curated record
GCCACCCACCCCAUCGAGAGAACCCAAAGCCCAUAAUCUAACUCAGACACUCUUUCUCUCUGCGUUUACCUUUACCCUUACCUUGCUUUUUCUCGAUUUAGGGCUUUCUCUCUCUAACAACCCACCACCACUCGCCGCCUCUCUCUCUCUCUCUCAUCGCUUAGCUGAAAAUCUCAAUCCCUGGCUACAAAACCCUUUUUGUCUUCUCGCAUGGUAGACCGACGAUUUUUCCUUAUUUUUUAGGGUUUCGCUCUUCGAUUUCUAGGGUUUUGAUUCUCAGCCCUACUUCUCUAAUCCGAGUGAAUUUCGAGCUGAAUAGCACGAAUACAUCCAAGGUCUGCAAGUAUUUCCUUUUUCUUUCACUGAUUUAAUUGUAUCGUUUUUUUUUUUUUUGGUUCUCCUAUUGUUUUUUGGAUCUCGCUUUGUUUCGAUUUAGGGUUAAGCCUUUGUAAUUUCUUUUUGUGCUUUUUUUUUUUUGAAAAAAGGGUCAGGCGAAUUUUAUGUGUUUGAUUUUCUGAUUUUGGGUUGGAGUUUCUAUAGAAAAUUGAAUUGGGGUUAGGGUUUAUUGUUUUGAAAAAAAAUUAAAAAAAAUUGUUUGGAGUUAGAUUUUGAGAUUUAUAUAUAUACAAAAAAGAAAAAAAAUAUAUGGCGGCUGGGAGGCAUGGGGGUUAUCGCGAGAAUGAGUUCAGGGACCGCGAGUCCAACUUUGAUUUGUCGAGGAGGGAUUUUGCUAAUGGCAAGGAAGAUUAUGAUCGGGUUAGGAGUAGUAAUGGUAGUCGUGAAUAUAAAAGGGGUCGAGGUCGGGGGGAUAUAAGAGACAAGGGUAGGGUUAGGCAGAAGGAUAUUAAGGAGAGGAAAGUGGUGAAUGGUGGGUAUCGAUCAGCUUCCAGUAAGAGUGAUUCGGGCAGUAGUGGUGGUGGUGGUGGUGGUAUUGGUGGGCCCAGGCGAUGUGGGCUUGCGGCUAGGACUGUUGAUAGGGAACCAGGUGAGUUGUCAAGUGAGUCUGAUGAUGCUAUUGAAUCCGAAUCGCAGGUUAAGGAUGCCAGUGUAUCGAAACUGAUGGAGAAUGGGGGUCAGUCUCCACCUCCGCAGAGGAAGAGGAAGUUUUCGCCUAUAAUUUGGGAUAGAGAUGAGAAGGAGGUCAAUAAUUUGUCAAGAAGUAGGGCGUCCACGACAGUGGCAGCAGCCCUUCCUCCUCCCCCGCCAUUGCCUAAGGCAUACCGUCAGUCACCUAAUGUUGUUCCAGAUGGUGGUGUACAAAUUUCUCCUGUUAAGAGUACUAAAGAUGAGAGUGUGGAGCAAUCUUCAUCGUCAUUUGAACCUCCUUUGGCACCUGGAUCAGGGGGGCGUGCUUUGUCCGAGUCUCCAGUAGAAUUGUCUCCUGGGUCGCCAAAGCAGCGGUGGGGUAAUGAUCUCGAAGCAGAGCAAAUAGAAGAUGAUGAUUAUGUUCCAACCCGGAACAUUUCGUCUUCAAGAUGGGCAGCUGGGAAUAACUCUCCGGUUGAUGAAGGUGAAAUUGUAGAUGAUGAGGAAAUGCCUAGAAGGAGAAGGAAAUUGCCUCCGUCGGAGUCACUGGAGGCUGGAGUACACAACAAGUCUUUGAGUCCAGAGCUUGGGGAGCUCAGGAGAGAAGGCUCUGAAAGAUCUGCAGCUAAAUCAUCUGAAUCUGAUGAACUAGUUGCCCGUGCUAGGUCUUUGAGUGGGGAUGAUUACACUGGUAAUAAUUUAGACAAGGAUGACUACAUGGAGAUUGAUGAGGAACGUAAUAAAAAUUAUAGUAGUGUUAGCCAGUCAGAUACAGAUUCUGGGGAUGACGAUGAUUCUCAAGGGACACCUGAACUCUCUCCUUCAGCCCUUCCCCAAAGAAGCUUAAACAUGCUUCAGGGUUGUAGAAGCGUUGAUGAGUUUGAGAGACUAAACAGAAUAGAUGAAGGCACCUAUGGAGUUGUAUAUAGAGCUAGAGAUAAGAAGACGGGGGAAAUUGUGGCAUUGAAGAAAGUAAAAAUGGAGAAGGAAAAAGAAGGUUUUCCAAUGACAUCUCUGAGAGAAAUAAACAUUCUCCUUUCUCUUCAUAACCCAUCAAUUGUAGAUGUUAAAGAGGUGGUGGUGGGGAGUAGCCUUGAUAGCAUUUUUAUGGUGAUGGAGUACAUGGAACAUGAUCUCAAAGGGCUCAUGGAAACAAUGAAGCAGCCGUUUAGUCAGAGUGAAGUGAAAUGCCUAAUGCUCCAGCUUUUGGAGGGUGUUAAGUAUCUUCAUGAUAACUGGGUGCUUCAUCGGGAUUUGAAGACAUCAAAUCUGCUUUUGAAUAAUCGGGGUGACUUGAAGAUUUGUGAUUUUGGGUUGGCACGACAAUAUGGGAGUCCAUUGAAACCAUAUACUCAUUUGGUGGUUACCCUUUGGUACAGGGCACCUGAACUUCUGCUGGGAGCAAAACUAUAUUCCACAGCAAUUGACAUGUGGUCACUGGGUUGCAUCAUGGCUGAAUUACUAUCAAAGGAACCAUUGUUCAAUGGGAAGACUGAAUUUGAUCAACUUGACAAGAUUUUUAGGAUUCUUGGCACACCAAAUGAGACAAUUUGGCCUGGGUUUUCCAAGCUCCCUGGGGUCAAGGUCAACUUUGUUAAGCAUCAGUAUAACCUAUUGCGGAAGAAAUUCCCAGCUACAUCAUUCACUGGAUCACCAGUUCUUUCCGAUUCUGGAUUUGACUUGUUAAACAAACUUUUAACUUAUGACCCUGAGAAGCGGAUUACAGCUGAAGCUGCUCUUAAUCAUGACUGGUUUCGUGAAGUUCCUCUACCCAAGUCCAAAGAGUUUAUGCCAACUUUUCCCGCUCAACAUGCUCAAGACAGGCGUACGCGUAGAAUAAUGAAGAGUCCCGAUCCUUUAGAAGAGCAGCGUAGAAAGGAGUUGCAGCAAGGGCAUUUAGGGACUGGUGGUGUGCUUGGCUAAAGAGCAAUGGAUCUCUGAAGUGGCCAUGAUCUUCAUACUUUUGUUUUGUACAACACUAACUAGUGAUAUGGUUGAGGUGAGAGACCUGCAUUGAAAUGAAGUUCCAAACACUGAUUUGUCAGAAGAUCAAUCGUGCUGUUUUUUUAGCAGGCACUAUUCAGUGAUUUGGGUGGAAACUAUUUUUUUGCCUCUUCCUGUCAACCGGAGUCAUUGCAGGUUAACUUUGUUCUCCAGCUUUGGUCAACGUAGCUUGCAUUGCCAGAGACGGUUGGUUGGUGUGAAGUGGAGGGGAUGCUCUUUGCUUUCCAUUGACGAAGAAAUUGACAGUAACCAUAAUACUUCAGAGUAUCAAAGCAAGCAGGUUGAGGAGGUUUUCUGGGAUUUAUAGAACUUCAAUUAGUUGUCCCUUCUGGCUCGCUGGAGGCACUGCUGGAAGAGUGGGCUGCCUGGAGACGGGAAAAUUAUGAAAGUGUCCACUUUCCAUGCUAAACCAUAAUGGAGAUUCAGUAGAUGUAAGCAGUAUAGAAAAAUUAAUUUUUUUGUCAUGUGCAUUGUAAUAGUUGUGUCCAAUGGCAAUGAGGUUAAAGCUAUAUAUUCGCCAGGAAAAUUUGCAUGUUUUGCAACUCAUUUUGUAUUCACAUUAAGUGGAGUCUUCUUGUGGUUGCUCCCUUUGCUCCUAUCAGCCUGUCAGAUUGGUCGGUGAUGCUACCACAGCUGUGUAACGACCUUCUGAAUUGUCGACAUCAAGAAUCUAGUUUUGGUGACUGGAUGGUUAUUGGUUAGCUGAGGUGAUUGUUACUAACCUUUGCUUUCUCUGUUGGGCCAAUUAAAAAUGUCGUAAUGUACUAAUUCAGGAUGGGGCUUGGGCUGAGAAUGCUUCUAACAUACCCCCGAGUUAAAAAAGCUUGACCUCACGAAGUUAAUGUUAUAUUGAAUUUAUCAAUGGAAUUGCUGACACACCUAUUACUUAGAUGAUGUUAAGAGCGAGAAGGACCUGACUGCUUGGGAAUCUCCUUUGUAAGUCAAUGAUGCGUAAUAUUCAUGGUUGUGUAUUUGAUUUUAUAAGUGUUGACCUGCUGCACUUAUUUUGUUUUUGUCACAAUGUGACCAAAUAUAGAUACAGGCCUUUAGAUUCUGUGGUGGGUUCAGGCAAUGUAGCUAUAUUUGCUUGAUCUACUUCCUUGAUAUUUGGCUGGUCUUUCUAAAUAAUCUUUUCAAUGAAUUAUCCAUAAUUUUUGUGUCAA